AUUGAACGCUGGCGGCAGGCCUAACACAUGCAAGUCGAACGAGUGGCGGACGGGUGAGUAAUGUCUGGGAAACUGCCUGAUGGAGGGGGAUAACUACUGGAAACGGUAGCUAAUACCGCAUACCAUCAGAUGUGCCCAGAUGGGAUUAGCUAGUUGGUGGGGUAACGGCUCACCAAGGCGACGAUCCCUAGCUGGUCUGAGAGGAUGACCAGCCAAACUGGAACUGAGACACGGUCCAGAGUCCUACGGUAGGCAGAAGUGGGGAAUAUUGCACAAUGGACGCAGGCCUGAUGAGACCAUGCGGCGUGUAUGAAGAGGGCCUUCGGGUUGUAAAGUACUUUCAGCGGGGAGGCGUUACCCGCAGAAGAAGCACCGGCUAACUCCGGGCCAGCAGCCGCGGUAAUAC
Molecule: ribosomal RNA, 406 nt
Filed under: uncultured bacterium
Lineage: Bacteria
Description: partial 16S ribosomal RNA
Rfam family: Bacterial small subunit ribosomal RNA
Source: RNAcentral